Molecule: ribosomal RNA, 2604 nt
Filed under: Pseudomonas fluorescens R124
Lineage: Bacteria; Pseudomonadati; Pseudomonadota; Gammaproteobacteria; Pseudomonadales; Pseudomonadaceae
Description: bacterial LSU rRNA
Rfam family: Bacterial large subunit ribosomal RNA
Source: RNAcentral
UCAAGUGAAGAAGCGCAUACGGUGGAUGCCUUGGCAGUCAGAGGCGAUGAAAGACGUGGUAGCCUGCGAAAAGCUUCGGGGAGUCGGCAAACAGACUUUGAUCCGGAGAUGUCUGAAUGGGGGAACCCAGCCAUCAUAAGAUGGUUAUCUUGUACUGAAUACAUAGGUGCAAGAGGCGAACCAGGGGAACUGAAACAUCUAAGUACCCUGAGGAAAAGAAAUCAACCGAGAUUCCCUUAGUAGUGGCGAGCGAACGGGGACUAGCCCUUAAGUGGCUUUGAGAUUAGCGGAACGCUCUGGAAAGUGCGGCCAUAGUGGGUGAUAGCCCUGUACGCGAAAAUCUCUUGGUCAUGAAAUCGAGUAGGACGGAGCACGAGAAACUUUGUCUGAAUAUGGGGGGACCAUCCUCCAAGGCUAAAUACUACUGACUGACCGAUAGUGAACUAGUACCGUGAGGGAAAGGCGAAAAGAACCCCGGAGAGGGGAGUGAAAUAGAUCCUGAAACCGUAUGCGUACAAGCAGUGGGAGCCCACUUUGUUGGGUGACUGCGUACCUUUUGUAUAAUGGGUCAGCGACUUAUUUUCAGUGGCGAGCUUAACCGAAUAGGGGAGGCGUAGCGAAAGCGAGUCUUAAUAGGGCGUCUAGUCGCUGGGAAUAGACCCGAAACCGGGCGAUCUAUCCAUGGGCAGGUUGAAGGUUAGGUAACACUGACUGGAGGACCGAACCGACUACCGUUGAAAAGUUAGCGGAUGACCUGUGGAUCGGAGUGAAAGGCUAAUCAAGCUCGGAGAUAGCUGGUUCUCCUCGAAAGCUAUUUAGGUAGCGCCUCAUGUAUCACUGUAGGGGGUAGAGCACUGUUUCGGCUAGGGGGUCAUCCCGACUUACCAAACCGAUGCAAACUCCGAAUACCUACAAGUGCCGAGCAUGGGAGACACACGGCGGGUGCUAACGUCCGUCGUGAAAAGGGAAACAACCCAGACCGUCAGCUAAGGUCCCAAAGUUAUGGUUAAGUGGGAAACGAUGUGGGAAGGCUUAGACAGCUAGGAGGUUGGCUUAGAAGCAGCCACCCUUUAAAGAAAGCGUAAUAGCUCACUAGUCGAGUCGGCCUGCGCGGAAGAUGUAACGGGGCUCAAACCAUACACCGAAGCUACGGGUAUCACGUAAGUGAUGCGGUAGAGGAGCGUUCUGUAAGCCUGUGAAGGUGAGUUGAGAAGCUUGCUGGAGGUAUCAGAAGUGCGAAUGCUGACAUGAGUAACGACAAUGGGUGUGAAAAACACCCACGCCGAAAGACCAAGGUUUCCUGCGCAACGUUAAUCGACGCAGGGUUAGUCGGUCCCUAAGGCGAGGCUGAAAAGCGUAGUCGAUGGAAAACAGGUUAAUAUUCCUGUACUUCUGGUUAUUGCGAUGGAGGGACGGAGAAGGCUAGGCCAGCUUGGCGUUGGUUGUCCAAGUUUAAGGUGGUAGGCUGAGAUCUUAGGUAAAUCCGGGAUCUUAAGGCCGAGAGCUGAUGACGAGUUACCCUUUGGGUGACGAAGUGGUUGAUGCCAUGCUUCCAAGAAAAGCUUCUAAGCUUCAGGUAACCAGGAACCGUACCCCAAACCGACACAGGUGGUUGGGUAGAGAAUACCAAGGCGCUUGAGAGAACUCGGGUGAAGGAACUAGGCAAAAUGGCACCGUAACUUCGGGAGAAGGUGCGCCGGUGAGGGUGAAGGACUUGCUCCGUAAGCUCAUGCCGGUCGAAGAUACCAGGCCGCUGCGACUGUUUAUUAAAAACACAGCACUCUGCAAACACGAAAGUGGACGUAUAGGGUGUGACGCCUGCCCGGUGCCGGAAGGUUAAUUGAUGGGGUUAGCUAACGCGAAGCUCUUGAUCGAAGCCCCGGUAAACGGCGGCCGUAACUAUAACGGUCCUAAGGUAGCGAAAUUCCUUGUCGGGUAAGUUCCGACCUGCACGAAUGGCGUAACGAUGGCGGCGCUGUCUCCACCCGAGACUCAGUGAAAUUGAAAUCGCUGUGAAGAUGCAGUGUAUCCGCGGCUAGACGGAAAGACCCCGUGAACCUUUACUAUAGCUUUGCACUGGACUUUGAAUUUGCUUGUGUAGGAUAGGUGGGAGGCUUUGAAGCGUGGACGCCAGUUCGCGUGGAGCCAUCCUUGAAAUACCACCCUGGCAACUUUGAGGUUCUAACUCAGGUCCGUUAUCCGGAUCGAGGACAGUGUAUGGUGGGUAGUUUGACUGGGGCGGUCUCCUCCUAAAGAGUAACGGAGGAGUACGAAGGUGCGCUCAGACCGGUCGGAAAUCGGUCGUAGAGUAUAAAGGCAAAAGCGCGCUUGACUGCGAGACAGACACGUCGAGCAGGUACGAAAGUAGGUCUUAGUGAUCCGGUGGUUCUGUAUGGAAGGGCCAUCGCUCAACGGAUAAAAGGUACUCCGGGGAUAACAGGCUGAUACCGCCCAAGAGUUCAUAUCGACGGCGGUGUUUGGCACCUCGAUGUCGGCUCAUCACAUCCUGGGGCUGAAGCCGGUCCCAAGGGUAUGGCUGUUCGCCAUUUAAAGUGGUACGCGAGCUGGGUUUAGAACGUCGUGAGACAGUUCGGUCCCUAUCUG